This 507-nucleotide ribosomal RNA is filed under the name uncultured bacterium. RNAcentral's name for it is "partial 16S ribosomal RNA". The record is from RNAcentral.
GGAGUUAGCCGGUGCUUCUUCUGUGAGUGAUGUCCUUCCUGCCGGCUAUUAACCCGCAGGCCUUCUUCCUCACUGAAAGUGCUUUACAACCCGAAGGCCUUCUUCACACACGCGGCAUGGCUGGAUCAGGGUUGCCCCCAUUGUCCAAUAUUCCCCACUGCUGCCUCCCGUAGGAGUCUGGGCCGUGUCUCAGUCCCAGUGUGGCUGAUCAUCCUCUCAGACCAGCUACGGAUCGUCGCCUUGGUGAGCCGUUACCUCACCAACCAGCUAAUCCGACAUAGGCUCAUCCGAUAGCGCGAGGCCCGAAGGUCCCCCGCUUUCCCCCGUAGGGCGUAUGCGGUAUUAGCCUGGGUUUCCCCAGGUUAUCCCCCACUACCGGGCAGAUUCCUAUGCAUUACUCACCCGUCCGCCGCUCGCCACCAGGGAGCAAGCUCCCCGUGCUGCCGCUCGACUUGCAUGUGUUAGGCCUGCCGCCAGCGUUCAAUCUGAGCCAGAAUCAACUACUGA